RNAcentral lists this ribosomal RNA (434 nucleotides) under uncultured bacterium. Its description in RNAcentral is "bacterial SSU rRNA". It matches the Rfam family "Bacterial small subunit ribosomal RNA", at positions 28 to 445 of the family's 1533-position model. The record is from RNAcentral.
GAUGAACGCUGGCGGCGUGCUUAACACAUGCAAGUCGAACGGGAAACCUUUUAUUGAAGCUUCGGCAGAUUUAGAUUGUUUCUAGUGGCGGACGGGUGAGUAACGCGUGGGUAACCUGCCUUAUACAGGGGGAUAACAGUCAGAAAUGACUGCUAAUACCGCAUAAGCGCACAGAGCUGCAUGGCUCAGUGUGAAAAACUCCGGUGGUAUAAGAUGGACCCGCGUUGGAUUAGCUGGUUGGUGAGGUAACGGCCCACCAAGGCGACGAUCCAUAGCCGGCCUGAGAGGGUGAACGGCCACAUUGGGACUGAGACACGGCCCAGACUCCUACGGGAGGCAGCAGUGGGGAAUAUUGCACAAUGGGGGAAACCCUGAUGCAGCGACGCCGCGUGAAGGAAGAAGUAUCUCGGUAUGUAAACUUCUAUCAGCAGGGA